Molecule: long non-coding RNA, 1648 nt
Filed under: Chrysemys picta bellii (western painted turtle)
Lineage: Eukaryota; Metazoa; Chordata; Testudines; Emydidae
Description: lncRNA (ENSCPBG00000014778.1)
Source: RNAcentral
GCUGUCGAAGACCUGGAGCGCUGCCCUGUCAGUAAAAGUGCCGCAGCAGGUGGCGCUUUUUUCCCCCCAGAAAAUACCAUCCUAGCCACCAUGGAUGUAGAGGCUCUCUACACAAACAUCCCACACACAGAUGGAAUACAAGCUGUCAGGAACAGUAUCCCUGAUGAUGACACAGCACAACUUAUUGCUGAGCUAUGUGACUUUAUCCUCACGCACAAUUAUUUCAAAUUUGGUGACAAUAUAUACCUCCAGACCAGUGGCACCGCUAUGGGCACCCGCAUGGCCCCACAAUAUGCCAACAUUUUUAUGGCUGACCUGGAACAACGCAUCCUCAGCUCUCGUCCACUCAUGCCCAUUCUCUACCUAUGCUAUAUUGAUGACAUCUUCAUCAUCUGGACCCAUGGGAAGGAGACCCUGGAAGAAUUCCACCAUGAUUUUAACAGCUUCCACCCCACCAUCAACCUCAGCCUGGACCAAUCUACACGGGAGGUCCACUUCCUAGACACCACCGUACAAAUAAGUGAUGGCCACAUUAACACCACCCUACACCGAAAACCCACCGACUGCUACGCCUACCUUCAUGCCUCCAGCUUCCACCCCGGUCACACCACACAAUCCAUCGUCUACAGCCAAGCACUGAGGUACAAUCGCAUCUGCUCCAACCCCUCAGACAGAGACCAACACCUACAAGAUCUUCACCAAGCAUUCUCAAAACUACAAUACCCACACAAGGAAAUAAAGAAACAAAUCAACAGAGCCAGACGUGUACCCAGAAGCCUCCUGCUACAAGACAGGCCCAAAAGAGAAACCAACAGAACUCCACUGGCCAUCACCUACAGUCCUCAGCUUAAACCUCUCCAAUGCAUCAUCAGUGAUCUACAACCCAUCCUGGACAAUGACCCUCACUUUCACAGAUCUUGGGAGGCAGGCCAGUCCUCGCCCACAGACAACCUGCCAACCUUAAGCAUAUUCUCACCAGCAACCACGCACCGCACCAUAACAACUCUAACUCAGGAACCAACCCAUGCAACAAACCUCAAUGCCAACUCUGCCCACAUAUCUACAUCAGCAACACCAUCACAGGACCUAACCAGAUCAGCUACAACAUCACCGGCUUAUUCACCUGCACGUCCACCAAUGUUAUAUAUGCCAUCAUAUGCCAGCAAUGCCCCUCUGCUAUGUACAUUGGCCAAACUGGACAGUCACUACGCAAGAGGAUAAAUGGACACAAGUCAGAUAUCAGGAAUGGUAAUAUACAAAAACCUGUAGGAGAACACUUUAACCUCCCUGGCCACACAAUAGCAGAUGUAAAGGUAGCCAUCUUACAGCACAAAAACUUCAGGACCAGACUCCAAAGAGAAACUGCUGAGCUCCAGUUCAUUUGCAAAUUUGACACCAUCAGAUCAGGAUUAAACAAAGACUGUGAAUGGCUAUCCAGCUACAGAAGCAGUUUCUCCUCCCUUGGUGUUCACACCACAACUGCUAGCAGAGCACCUCAACCUCCCUGAUUGAACUAACCUCGUUAUCUCCAUACUGAUUUAUAACUGCCUCUGGAGAUUUCCAUUACUUGCAUCUGAAGAAGUGAGGUUCUUACCCACGAAAGCUUAUGUUCCCAAUACUUCUGUUAGUCUUAAAGGUGCCACAGGAC